UGUUGGGAUAAUUUUGGGUAAGAUGAGGGCCAUUGUAGAUGAAGCAACCAGGAUGAAGGUUGGCUUGAUCCCUCGUUUGGUGGGAACCCUCCACCUUCGUCUUCCCUUUAUCAGCAUCCUUGGUCCGCUUCUCCCUAGCAUUCUUGAACUUUGGCUUCUUCUUGUGAGUCUUUUCAGCAAAUUAUGGCUUGCUUGUUGAAGGCCUAUUGCUGGG
Molecule: long non-coding RNA, 214 nt
Filed under: Elaeis guineensis (African oil palm)
Lineage: Eukaryota; Viridiplantae; Streptophyta; Magnoliopsida; Arecales; Arecaceae
Description: long non-coding RNA (EGUI_LNC000549)
Source: RNAcentral